AUGUCUCGAGUUGGCUGCCACGCCGUCGCAGUAAUCUGGGUACUCCCUUGGCAUAAAUUUCCACGUGAUAAUGAGCAUCAGGUUGUCAACAUUGACGAGGAAGGGAGGAUGUUAAGUCAAGUCACCACGAUGGAUACUUCAGAUAUUCCUGUUGAAAGUCCUCUUGGUAUUUUAAACUCCAAAAGCAAUGAACAUCAUAUUUUGGAAUUUAGGAAUAACGAGCUCUUUGUGUCAGAGUUGCAAAAUACACUGGAUAAAAACCAAUACAGUUGGAUGAGGCAGGAAGUAAAACUUAGCUCUGUGAUGGGUGAAGCUAAAUCUCUGAAGGAAGAACUUGAAAGUGUCCAGCGAGUCCCAGAUUAA
RNAcentral lists this ribosomal RNA (363 nucleotides) under Triticum aestivum (bread wheat). RNAcentral's name for it is "partial small subunit ribosomal RNA". Lineage: Eukaryota; Viridiplantae; Streptophyta; Magnoliopsida; Poales; Poaceae. The record is from RNAcentral.